CCAACCAUCUAAGGACACGGAGAUACGGAGUUGUCUUUUGCAGCUGUAGCGUAAGAUGAUAUAGUAUGAGAGAUAAGGAAUUGACGCUGUCUGUUUCUGAUCCUAACCUUGCAGCAAAGAUAAUAUAAUUAAGGAUGAGUUAUUUAUCUCAUUAUGCCUCAUUUUCCUUCACACGCAAACCCCACCAAAUAGGUUUAUUGUGAGAAUUAAAUGAGAGCAUAUAUGUUAACCUGUGGAGCACAAUGCCUAGUAAAUGCUUGAGAAAUGGUAGCUGUAAUUCUGGCUACUUGGGUAGCUGAGGCAGGAUUAAGCAUUUAAUUAAGCAUUUAAGAAAAACAGUAUUUACCACUCACACAAAACUAGCUUAAAAAUGUUGUUUUAAAACAAGACAUUCAUCAAUGCCUGGGCUUAUUGAAUCACUUUUUUUAAUGAUGGCUGCUUUAAAAUCUAUUUCAAAUGUUUCCAACA
RNAcentral lists this long non-coding RNA (468 nucleotides) under Pan troglodytes (chimpanzee). RNAcentral describes it as "long non-coding RNA NONPTRT009281". Lineage: Eukaryota; Metazoa; Chordata; Mammalia; Primates; Hominidae. The record is from RNAcentral.